RNAcentral lists this ribosomal RNA (406 nucleotides) under uncultured Cyanobium sp. RNAcentral's name for it is "bacterial SSU rRNA". It matches the Rfam family "Bacterial small subunit ribosomal RNA", at positions 355 to 776 of the family's 1533-position model. Lineage: Bacteria; Bacillati; Cyanobacteriota; Cyanophyceae; Synechococcales; Prochlorococcaceae. The record is from RNAcentral.
UGGGGAAUUUUCCGCAAUGGGCGAAAGCCUGACGGAGCAACGCCGCGUGAGGGAUGAAGGCCUCUGGGCUGUAAACCUCUUUUCUCAAGGAAGAAGAUCUGACGGUACUUGAGGAAUAAGCCACGGCUAAUUCCGUGCCAGCAGCCGCGGUAAUACGGGAGUGGCAAGCGUUAUCCGGAAUUAUUGGGCGUAAAGCGUCCGCAGGUGGCUCUGUAAGUCUGUCGUUAAAGCGUGGAGCUUAACUCCAUUUCAGCGGUGGAAACUACAGAGCUUGAGUGUGGUAGGGGCAGAGGGAAUUCCCGGUGUAGCGGUGAAAUGCGUAGAUAUCGGGAAGAACACCAGUGGCGAAGGCGCUCUACUGGGCCGUUACUGACGCUGAGGGACGAAAGCUAGGGGAGCGAAAGGG